UACGAAGGGGGCUAGCGUUGUUCGGAAUUACUGGGCGUAAAGCGCACGUAGGCGGAUAUUUAAGUCAGGGGUGAAAUCCCGGGGCUCAACCCCGGAACUGCCUUUGAUACUGGGUAUCUCGAGUCCGGAAGAGGUGAGUGGAAUUCCGAGUGUAGAGGUGAAAUUCGUAGAUAUUCGGAGGAACACCAGUGGCGAAGGCGGCUCACUGGUCCAUUACUGACGCUGAGGCACGAAAGCGUGGGUAGCAAACAGG
Molecule: ribosomal RNA, 253 nt
Filed under: uncultured bacterium
Lineage: Bacteria
Description: partial 16S ribosomal RNA
Rfam family: Bacterial small subunit ribosomal RNA
Source: RNAcentral